This 303-nucleotide ribosomal RNA is filed under the name uncultured bacterium. Its description in RNAcentral is "partial 16S ribosomal RNA". It matches the Rfam family "Bacterial small subunit ribosomal RNA", at positions 507 to 809 of the family's 1533-position model. The record is from RNAcentral.
AGCAGUAGCCACGGUAAUACGUAGGUGGCAAGCGUUGUCCGGAAUUAUUGGGCGUAAAGGGCUCGCUGGCGGUUUCUUAAGUCUGAUGUGAAAGCCCCCGGCUCAACCGGGGAGGGUCAUUGGAAACUGGGAAACUUGAGUGCAGAAGAGGAGAGUGGAAUUCCACGUGUAGCGGUGAAAUGCGUAGAGAUGUGGAGGAACACCAGUGGCGAAGGCGACUCUCUGGUCUGUAACUGACGCUGAGGAGCGAAAGCGUGGGGAGCGAACAGGAUUAGAUACCCCAGUAGUCCCUGUCUCUUAUAA